Molecule: non-coding RNA, 72 nt
Organism: Phrynosoma platyrhinos (Desert horned lizard)
Lineage: Eukaryota; Metazoa; Chordata; Lepidosauria; Squamata; Phrynosomatidae
Source: the annotation of a GenBank genome assembly
GGCAGAGUGGUGUAGUGGUUUGAGCAUUGGACUAUGACUCUGGAGAUCAGGGUUCGCUUCUGAGCUCAGCCA